RNAcentral lists this transfer RNA (70 nucleotides) under Xestia dilatata. Its description in RNAcentral is "tRNA-Leu". Lineage: Eukaryota; Metazoa; Arthropoda; Insecta; Lepidoptera; Noctuidae. The record is from RNAcentral.
ACUAUUUUGGCAGAAAAAAUGUAAUGAUUUUAGAAUUCAUUAAUAUAUAAUUUAAAUUAUAUAGAUAGUA